GCUGGGUGUGGUGGUGCACGCCUGUAAUCCCAACAGCUCAGGAGGCUGAGGCAGGAGGAUCACAAGUUCAAAGCCAGUCUCAG
RNAcentral lists this small RNA (83 nucleotides) under Marmota monax (woodchuck). The record is from RNAcentral. Lineage: Eukaryota; Metazoa; Chordata; Mammalia; Rodentia; Sciuridae.